GACGAACGCNGGCGGCGUGCCUAAUACAUGCAAGUAGGACGCACAGUUUAUACCGUAGCUUGCUACACCAUAGACUGUGAGUUGCGAACGGGUGAGUAACGCGUAGGUAACCUGCCUAUUAGAGGGGGAUAACUAUUGGAAACGAUAGCUAAUACCGCAUAACAGUAUGUAACACAUGUUAGAUGCUUGAAAGAUGCAAUUGCAUCGCUAGUAGAUGGACCUGCGUUGUAUUAGCUAGUAGGUAGGGUAAAGGCCUACCUAGGCAACGAUACAUAGCCGACCUGAGAGGGUGAUCGGCCACACUGGGACUGAGACACGGCCCAGACUCCUACGGGAGGCAGCAGUAGGGAAUCUUCGGCAAUGGGGGGAACCCUGACCGAGCAACGCCGCGUGAGUGAAGAAGGUUUUCGGAUCGUAAAGCUCUGUUGUUAAGGAAGAACGAGUGUGAGAANGGAAAGUUCAUACUGNGACGGNACUNACC
RNAcentral lists this ribosomal RNA (481 nucleotides) under uncultured bacterium. RNAcentral describes it as "bacterial SSU rRNA". It matches the Rfam family "Bacterial small subunit ribosomal RNA", at positions 28 to 483 of the family's 1533-position model. The record is from RNAcentral.